GCCUGGCUGGCUCAAUCAGUAGAGCAUGUGACUUUUGAUCACAGGGUUGUGAGUUUGAACCCCACGUUGAGCA
This 73-nucleotide transfer RNA is filed under the name Ailuropoda melanoleuca (giant panda). It matches the Rfam family "tRNA". From Rfam's summary of the family: Transfer RNA (tRNA) molecules are approximately 80 nucleotides in length. Their secondary structure includes four short double-helical elements and three loops (D, anti-codon, and T loops). Further hydrogen bonds mediate the characteristic L-shaped molecular structure. tRNAs have two regions of fundamental functional importance: the anti-codon, which is responsible for specific mRNA codon recognition, and the 3' end, to which the tRNAs corresponding amino acid is attached (by aminoacyl-tRNA synthetases). tRNAs cope with the degeneracy of the genetic code in two manners: having more than one tRNA (with a specific anti-codon) for a particular amino acid; and 'wobble' base-pairing, i.e. permitting non-standard base-pairing at the 3rd anti-codon position. Lineage: Eukaryota; Metazoa; Chordata; Mammalia; Carnivora; Ursidae. The record is from Rfam by way of RNAcentral. RNAcentral also lists the same sequence under 1 other name.